This 550-nucleotide ribosomal RNA is filed under the name uncultured bacterium. RNAcentral's name for it is "bacterial SSU rRNA". It matches the Rfam family "Eukaryotic small subunit ribosomal RNA", at positions 1283 to 1812 of the family's 1831-position model. The record is from RNAcentral.
CAUGGUCGUUCUUAGUUCGUGGAUUGAUUUGUCUGGUCUAUUCCGAUAACGAGCGAGACCCGACGUUCCUAAUAGGGCGGCAGCCCGGCUUACCCCUCACGGGGUCUGCUAGCAGCGCUUAGAAUUACUUCUUUAGACGUAUCAGAGCCGAUAAGGUUCUUGAAAUGGGUUAAUAACAGGUCAGUCAUGCCCUUAGAUGUUCUGGGCCGCACGCGCGUUACAAUGGUAUACAUAGAAUGUGCCUUUAUGGGCGUCUCCGCAGCCGACAGGUUGUGGUAACCCCUAAUCUCUCCCUUGACUGGGACAGACUAUUGCAAUUAUUGGUCUCCAACGAGGAAUUUUUAGUAGUCGCAGGUCAUUAACCUGCGACGAAUGCGUCCCUGCCCUUUGUACACACCGCCCGUCGCUGCUACCGAUUGGGUUUUGCGGUUACGAGUUCAGAGGUGGGGGUUUUAUUGCCUUCUUCACGGGAGGUGGUGACCACCGCCGAAGUUCUAAUUACCGCACGGCCUAGAGGAAGCAGAAGUCGUAACAAGGUAAGCGUAGAUGA